UGGUGAAGUUAGUGAGGUUCCUACACAACACUGGGAGACGUCAUUGAGGUACAGUGUCCCUACACAACAAAGAGGUGAAGUUAGUGAGGUACAGUGUCCCUACACAACAAAGAGGUGAAGUUAGUGAGGUUCCUACACAACACUGGGAGACGUCAUUGAGGUACAGUGUCCCAACACAACAAAGAGGUGAAGUUAGUGAGGUUCCUACACACACUGGGAGACGUCAUUGAGGUACAGUGUUCCUACACAACACUGGGAGACGUCAUUGAGGUACAGUGUCCCUACACAACAAAGAGGUGAAGUUAGUGAGGUUCCUACACAACACUGGGAGACGUCAUUGAGGUACAGUGUCCCUACACAACAAAGAGGUGAAGUUAGUGAGGUACAGUGUCCCUACACAACAAAGAGGUGAAGUUAGUGAGGUUCCUACACAACACUGGAAGACGUCAUUGAGGUACAGUGUCCCUACACAACAAAGAGGUGAAGUUAGUGAGGUACAGUGUCCCUACACAACAAAGAGGUGAAGUUAGUGAGGUACAGUGUCCCUACACAACAAAGAGGUGAAGUUAGUGAGGUUCCUACACAACACUGGGAGACGUCAUUGAGGUACAGUGUCCCUACACAACAAAGAGGUGAAGUUAGUGAGGUACAGUGUCCCUACACAACAAAGAGGUGAAGUUAGUGAGGUUCCUACACAACACUGGGAGACGUCAUUGAGGUACAGUGUCCCUACACAACAAAGAGGUGAAGUUAGUGAGGUUCCUACACAACACUGGGAGACGUCAUUGAGGUACAGUGUCCCUACACAACAAAGAGGUGAAGUUAGUGAGGUUCCUACACAACACUGGGAGACGUCAUUGAGGUACAGUGUCCCUACACAACAAAGAGGUGAAGUUAGUGAGGUUCCUACACAACACUGGGAGACGUCAUUGAGGUACAGUGUCCCUACACAACAAAGAGGUGAAGUUAGUGAGGUUCCUACACAACACUGGGAGACGUCAUUGAGGUACAGUGUCCCUACACAACAAAGAGGUGAAGUUGGUGAGGUACAGUGUCCCUACACAACAAAGAGGUGAAGUUAGUGAGGUUCCUAC
Haliotis rubra (blacklip abalone) is the source of this 1094-nucleotide long non-coding RNA. RefSeq lists it as uncharacterized. NCBI's taxonomy places the organism in Eukaryota, Metazoa, Mollusca, Gastropoda, Lepetellida, Haliotidae. The record is from RefSeq and is a predicted model, not a curated record. The transcript has 9 exons.